UACGUAGGGUACUAGCGUUGUCCGGAUUUAUUGGGCGUAAAGGGCUUGUAGGUGGUUUGUCGCGUCGUCUGUGAAAUUCCGGGGCUUAACUCCGGGCGUGCAGGCGAUACGGGCAAACUGGAGUGCUGUAGGGGAGACUGGAAUUCCUGGUGUAGCGGUGGAAUGCGCAGAUAUCAGGAGGAACACCGAUGGCGAAGGCAGGUCUCUGGGCAGUUACUGACACUGAGGAGCGAAAGCAUGGGUAGCGAACAGG
RNAcentral lists this ribosomal RNA (253 nucleotides) under uncultured bacterium. RNAcentral's name for it is "partial 16S ribosomal RNA". It matches the Rfam family "Bacterial small subunit ribosomal RNA", at positions 524 to 776 of the family's 1533-position model. The record is from RNAcentral.